UACGGGAGGCAGCAGGGGGAAUAUUGCACAAUGGGCGAAAGCCUGAUGCAGCUAUGCCGCGUGUAUGAAGAAGGCCUUAGGGUUGUAAAGUACUUUCAUCGGGGAGGAAAAAACAAAACUAAUAAUUUUAUUUCUUGACGUUACCCGAAAAAGAAGCACCGGCUAACUCCGUGCCAGCAGCCGCGGUAAUACGGAGGGUGCUAGCGUUAAUCAGAAUUACUGGGCGUAAAGAGCACGUAGGUGGUUUUUUUAAGUCAGAUGUGAAAUCCCCUGGGCUUAACCUAGGAACUGCAUUUUUGAAACUGAAAUACUAGAGUAUCGUAGAGGGAGGUAGAAUUCUAGGUGUAGCGGUGAAAUGCGUAGAUAUCUGGAGGAAUACCUGUGGCGAAAGCGGCCUCCUAAACGAAUACUGACACUGAGGGUGCGAAAGCGUGGGGAGCAAACAGGGAUUUAGAUACC
RNAcentral lists this ribosomal RNA (459 nucleotides) under uncultured bacterium. RNAcentral's name for it is "bacterial SSU rRNA". It matches the Rfam family "Bacterial small subunit ribosomal RNA", at positions 340 to 786 of the family's 1533-position model. The record is from RNAcentral.